Molecule: long non-coding RNA, 321 nt
Filed under: Salvia miltiorrhiza (redroot sage)
Lineage: Eukaryota; Viridiplantae; Streptophyta; Magnoliopsida; Lamiales; Lamiaceae
Description: long non-coding RNA (SMIL_LNC012540)
Source: RNAcentral
GGGUUGGUGUGGGUGUGGAGGUGUGGGGUGGGGGGGAAUGUUAUGGAAGAAGAAGAGUUUUGGACGUUGGGGGCGACUGGUGGGAUGGUGAUGGGGUUGGGAUUAGAUAAUUAUUUUUUUAUUUUUCUUUUGUUUAAUUUAUUUAUUUAAAUAUAAGGUUAAAAUUGUAAUUUACUCUUUAAUAUAUAUUUGUAUAUUUUGUAUCAAACAAUAAUAUUAGUUAUCUAGAUUUUAAUCUUGAUCUAUCAAACACUAUAAAUACAUUACUAAUCUCACCCAAUCCAUAUUAUUUUAACUAGGUUUUAUUUAUCACUCUUUAUC